Molecule: long non-coding RNA, 303 nt
Organism: Drosophila serrata
Lineage: Eukaryota; Metazoa; Arthropoda; Insecta; Diptera; Drosophilidae
Gene: mus81
Source: RefSeq, a predicted model, not a curated record
CUCACCGGAAGUGGAAGCAGCACUGGACGAUGGUGGAAGAGCUGCUGCUGCUGUUGUGGCAGAUAAUAAUCAAGUGCCUAUUAAAGUGUAAAGGUUAACCUUUGAAGCUUGUAAGCUAGAAAAGUGAAUUGUGAAUUAUGCUUAUUCACCUAUCGUAUUUUAAAUUUGGAGUUAUAAAUCGAAAACCCCGUCUUUCCUUAACCUUUCCUGGCAGUUAAGUAAGAAGUACCUUAACCGAGCGUUAAGCAACUGGAUCAAAUGUCUCUAACUUUUUUUAUUGCAAAAACUUAACAUUUAAUAAAG